GGCUUCACGAUCCCUCUUUGUUUUCUGUCGCGAAUGAUCUCAGAUCUUCUCCGUUUCUCAAUUGGGAACUUCUCGGCGCUCGUCGUGUUGAUCGAUUCAGGUGCAGGUGUGAGAUCGGAAAACUGAUCCUUUGGCUCUGGAUUUGAAGAGCAUUUCACUGUUCGACGAAUGUUUUGUACAUUGAAGCUACAGGUUCUUGGUACUGCGACGUUGACAUUCGUAGAAGUAGAGAGAGAUUGAAGAAGUAAUGUGGAAGCCAUUGAUUUAGAGCUUAAACGAUGAUGAUUGGAGAUAGAUAAGGCCUCCUUGUAAUGUCGUUUUACUGUUUACAUGUUUUAGAUAAGAACGUGCUGUCGUUUUUUUUUUAUGUUUUAGAAAAUUUUGUUUUUUUUUUCAAAUGAAUCGUUAGUUUUAAAUAAUUUGGCCGUUGAGGCAACAAUUUUCUUCCCAGAUUUAUUUUCUGUGACGUUUCUGUAAAACUUAAAGCUAUUAUUUUUCAAUUCUCUGUAACUCUAUGAUGAGUCAAGAUUUUAGACCAAGUUAGUUUACAACUUAAUUCCUUGUAGUUUGGUUGGAAACCUUCAAUUAAGGCAUGUAUGACUAAAUCGAGUAAGUUAAGGAUCACUUAAUUUAAAAGUUGAACAACUCCUUUGUUUGAACUCUGAUUGGGCUAAUUCCACUUUGCUGUGAUUCCUUGAUGAGUCAAGAACAUGGAUCGGGUCAGGUCUCAGCUUAGACCUUUGUGGUUGGGCUUAAACUCCAUGAAAUGAGCUCAUAUGUCUUCUCGAGUGAAUUCUGGUCCAAAAUCUAGCCAGUAGUAGUGAUUCCUCGUCUAAGCCAAAAGUAUAUUCUUAAUAUAUUCUUUGAGGAUGAUUGGUUUAAGCUUUCACCUCUGCUUUUGUUGGGCUCGCCUUUGAGCUCCAUUUCCCUCUCUGAUUCAGGUUUGGCAUGGUUUGGUUUGAUCAAAGCUAACGACCACAUCAAAUCAUGUAGAUGAGAAGCUAGAGGAGGAUUCUGCAGUAUUUUUCUAUAAGACAUGUUGUUUUUAAUUUAAAGGUAAAUCUGUUUUUGAAUUUGUACUUAUCAAUAUUUAUCGCUUUAGGAUUUAAGAUUGGCUAAUAAAAUGAGAGGACUGACUUUUUGGUGUAAGAAAUAUUUUGUUAGUAAUAAACUUGUGUAUAAUUGUUUAGUAAGUUGCUUUCCUAUCAAAUUCUAAAAAACAGUGAGUGCACCCAAAAUGUACAAUUCCAAUCGUUAGAAUACAAUCAUAUACAUUGGCAAUUAAAGUUUUUAUUCUCUUUUGUAGUUUAGUACGACUUCAAUAAUUCAAUCAUUGAUGUGUGCAACAAAGGACCUAGGAAGCGACUCCCUUUGGACGGAGAAUUCAAGAAUUCGAUUAAUGACGUCUACAUGGAGGAUGCAAUUAUCUCUUCACUCGAAAGAAAAAAUGAGAUACUUCGCUAUAAAAUGUUUGGUUUGUAUUUUGAACUCAGAUAUGAGCUAACAUCAUCUUGGUGUGUGUCACAGAUAAUAGUUGUCUUACAUACGGUGCCAGUUUUAAGGGAGUGUUAAUUGUGCAAAUGCAUAGAGUUCCACAAUUUUAAUUAUUAUUUUUUUAUAUUUUAGUGUCCUGAAAUUUUAAAUUUUCACUAAAAAUGGUCAAAUUUUCAAAUCAUAGAUAUUUAGUCCAUAAUUUGUAGUAGAAAAUUAAUCAUAGCACAAGAUCAACAAAUUCUUUGAGCCAGACCUGCUUACAUAGAAAGGUUAUCUCUAGAUGAGGAAUAAAAAGAACAUAAAUAUCGUUUGAAAAUUUUUUUAAGCAAUAUAUUCUAUGACCCUUUUUAGUGGUUUCAAGGUGUAAAAAUUUCAAACAUCCAGAUCCCAUGAGAUUCCCAUAAAUUUUAUUAACUUUUUCUUGUUUUUGCAACCAAUUAUAAUCAUUUUCUUGAUCCAGUCAAAAUUUACAAAUUCAUUAAAAUUCUAAUCUUUCAAAAUAUUAGAUUCAACACACCAUAUAAUCUCUAUAUUAUUGAGUAGACAUUUACAUAAAUGAACCUUUAUUUGUAAGAUAUGACAAAAUAUUUUACAUAAAUAAACAUUUAUUUAUAAAAUAUUACAUAAAUAAAUUUUUACGUUUAAGAUAUUACAUAAAUAAACUUUAUAAAUAUAGAAAAUUCAAUUAAAUAUUCCUCCGUAAGAGAUAGUUAAAUAUAGAGCUCACACAUUUAUUUUAAAUAUAUAUGGAUAUAAAUUAAAAGUAUAUUUAAUUUCUUUACUUAUUAAAAUAUUAAAAUAUAUUCUAUUAUUUUAAAUAAUAAUCAAUCCAUAUAUAUGAAAAAAUCUAUUUAUACUUUUUGCAAUAUUUUUUAUUUGUAUUUUCAUGAUUAAAUAGUAUCAUUUUUUGAAAAUUAAUUCAAUUAUUUUUAUAAAAAAAUUGAAAUAUGUUUUCAAAAUUUAGAUUGUAUUUUUUAUGGGUGGUCGAAAAACUAUUUUAGUAAAUUUUAAAAUAGAUUAAGUAGAUAGUUUUUCUACUUUGACAAUUCUAUAUAUAAUCUUUAUUAACACAUAUUAUAGAAUUCAUUAACAAAAAAUAAUAGUUUGAUCUCUAAUUAAAUAUUCAUAAUUAAAUUAUUAUUAUUAUUAUAUAUAUAUUCUAUUCUAUGUUGUAUGUAUAUAAGUAUAUAUAUAUAUAUUAACAUCAUGUCACAUUUAUAUUAAAAAACUACUUAUAAUUAAACAGCAUAACAAAACUAGCUCAAAAUCCUAUUUGAUGGAUACAUAUACAAUAAAUAUCGGUUAUGUAAUAUUUCUAUAUGUAUUGUUAUCUAAUUGUCACCAGUUUUAUUUAUUUUAUUUUUUGUUAAAAAAAUUUUAUCACUAAUUUUUGUUUAACCAAAAACUUAAAAUUAAAUUUAAAGAUAAUUUUAAAAAUAUUACCCCGCACAAUGUGUAGAUUAAUUUCUAGUUUUAUUUGACUCUGAUAGAGGAUACGUUGAGAUUAAAGGCUUAGCAUCCAUAAUUUUUUGUUAAUAAAAAUCAGGUUCACUAUCAUUCAGGUUCUAAAUCCGGUUCAGAUUGCAUUGAGUUUGGGACCAAGCCAAAUUAAUCCACAUUGGUUUGGUUUUGUUGGGUUCAAUUCGUUCUUUGGGUUAGGAUUUAUUUUUCUACUCCAAUUUGACUUUUUUUUAAACGACGCCGUGUACACCACUUUUAGUGUUUUGCAAUAUCUUCAGGAUUUCGGAUUCCCCUAAUCUUCUGGUUUAUCCCAUCUCCAUUAUCUUACUGGUUUGACCUCAUUUUAUUUGGUUCAGCUAUUUAAAAGUUAUGUAACUAAACGAUAUAUAAUAUAACCUCUAUAAAUUAAUACUCGAUAAAUUAAUAGUUUAAUAAAUUAAUACAUUUUUAAGUUUCAAAUUAGUUUUUCGAGUUGAUUUUUAUAUCGAUAAAUUAAUAACUUAAUAAAUUAAUAAAAUAUUACAGUCUUAAUAUUAUUAAUUUAUAAAGGUUUAACUGUCUAUAGCUUGUGAAAUUAAUCAACUUUUAUUUUAUUUUUAUUUAUUUUUAUACUAGUUGAUUAGCACGCUAUAUUUCAUAUUAUUGGUUAUUGAUAAUAAAAAAUAAUUUAGUAAUAAGAUUUUUUAAUAAUAUUUAAUAUUUCACCAUAAAAAAAUAAUAAUUUAAUAUAUUAUAGCUAAAUAAAUGACAUUAACCAAACAACAUAUAGCAUAAAUUGUUUGAUAAGAAAGGAUGAUUACCAUUUUAUUAAGCUAGGCAUACAUAUUCUAUAGAUGAUACCCACUAUGAAAGGUAUUCAACCUCGUUACAAUUAUCGAUGUUGAAUCAUAUCCACCAAGACAUUAUAUACUUACACCCAUAUUGUUCACAGCUAGAUACGACUCAAACCAACAACUGAAUUUGAUCUACAUAUCUAGAUGACUAGAUCACUUAACUCAUAUGAAAACUUCUAUAUUUCAAAAAUUAAAAGGAGAAUAAAGCUCUAAGGAUUGAAAUUUCACAUACAUUUCAUUGUUCUCAGAUGUCUAUUUAGCUUACAUUAAUCUAGUUUCAGAAGAGUAACAAAAUUUUAAGAUGCAUUCAUUAUUUCUCUCCUUUUUUCUCCCUCUCUCUCCACCUCCCCUUCUAUCUCUCCCUUCCUCUUUCUCUCAUGAACGCAACAAAAUUAAAUUACAUACCACAUUUUUAUCCGAUUUAAAUUUAAUCUUAUUCUUUUCCUCUGAUUUUCUCUUUUUCUAGUUAGUUUUGGUGUCUCUUUUCUGGUUUUCACCCAUUAGUAUUUUUAAGAAUUGGCUUCAAUAUGUUAUUAUUAUAAGAUACCACAAUUUGAUUCUGAUAAUAUAUAUUCUUAUGUAUUCCUUAAAAGUUUGGAGUUGCCAUUCGAGCUUCUGGAAAUUCAUGUGAUUUAUUUUUAGAUUUAUUAAAACCUGGUUUGGAUCAUGUUAUCAUAUUGAUACCUAUCUAAUCUCACAUAUUGUUUUAAUUGAUAAAAACUUGCAAUUAUAAACUUGUAUUAUAAUGUGUCAUAAUUUAGAUCUCAAAAUUUUUUUUUUCAGAAUUGGCAAAACCAAAUUUAAAUUUAGCUAUUCAAAUUUUUUUUUCGACCCAAACUGUCUCGCCAUUAACCCUUCGAACUUCUCUAAGAAGUCCAUUAUCACAUACCCUUUAGGCUUCUCCAAGUUUAUCUCUUUCGUUCUCUUCCAACCAAACUCUAAAUUCGGAGGCUCAGGCUUCACGAUCCCUCUUUUUCUGUCGCGAAUGAUCUCAGAUCUUCUUCGUUUCUCAAUUGGGAACUUCUCGACGCUCGUCGUGUUGAUCGAUUCAGGUGCAGGUGUGAGUUCGAAAAACUAAUCCUUUGGCUCUGGAUUUGAAGAGAAUUUCACUGUUCGACGAAUGUUUUGUACAUUGAAGCUAUAGGUUCUUGGUACUGCGACG
RNAcentral lists this long non-coding RNA (4950 nucleotides) under Eutrema salsugineum. RNAcentral's name for it is "long non-coding RNA (ESAL_LNC000298)". Lineage: Eukaryota; Viridiplantae; Streptophyta; Magnoliopsida; Brassicales; Brassicaceae. The record is from RNAcentral.